CAGAGGCGAUUUCCUUCUUGCAGACUUUAGGUGCCACUGCAGGGUCCGGAAAAGAAAGAGAAACGGCCCAGCGCGGUCGCUCCCAUAACCCAGGGCGGGGCUGCGCUCCGGCCCCGAAAACUUUUUUUUUUUUUUCGACAGAGUUUUCCUUCCUGUUGCUCAGGCUGGAGUGCAAUGGCGCGAUCUCGGCUCACCGCAACCUCCGUCUCCUAGGUUUAAGCGAUUCUCCUGCCUCAGCCUCCCUACUAGCUUGGAUUACAGGCAUUCACCACCAUGCCCGGUUAAUUUUUUAUUUUUAGUAGAGACGGGGUUUCCCCAUGUUGGUCAGGCUGGUCUCGAGCUCCCGACCUCAGGUGAUCCGCCGGCCUCGGCCUCCCAGAGUGCUGGGAUUACAGGCGAGAGCCACAGCGCCCGGCCUUGCCCGCAAGCGUUUUGAAUUCUGCGGCCCGGAGUUCACUGCGAGGAAUGGGAUCACCCGUCACCCCGCCCUAGUCUACGGAAAAUGAAACGUGUUUACUGAUAUAGAAACGGAAUAACGGCGCUGGGGAGGGCAGAGCUGCCUUCAGGCUUCUGGUCUCCAGCUGCGGGUCACUCACACCUGCCGCUGUGAAAUGCAGACCCGCAGGGCAGGAAUUCCGAGUCCGGGCUGGAGCGCGAUCUGGAAUCUGACUCGCUUGAAACAGCACCGCGGUGGAUUCGGAGCCGGGAGCUGGGACAAUUAUAUUCAUCAGAACAGCACAGUGUCAAGGCCCUCACCCCCAGAAAGCUUACGGGACACUGUUUUAUGGAGGAGAGUGAGAUUGGAGGAACCCUUGACUCCAAGUCUCCUGAUCCUUCUUACACAAAGAGAUGCUGAAAAAAAGUGCAGGACACUCCAUUUCCUCCUGGAACCAGACAGGGAAGCCAGAGUCAGCGUGGAUGUCAAAUUCCAGCAAGGAAACACCAGUAUAGCAAAAUCUUCACGUCACAUUUUAAAGCUCACACAAUGGCUCAAAGAGAACCAACAUCAAAAAGCCGAAUUCCUAGCUCAGGUGAGGUCACCGAGGCUGCCUGUGAGGGUUCGUGGAACUGCGGGUAGAAAGGGCAGCUUUACUGAGAGCUGCAGCCCAGUCGCUCCUGCAUCUUGGGGCCCCUUGAAAGGACCCGCUCCCUUCAACAGCACGUUGUGAGGCCAUUUCCGGGGAGAAACGUAGACUCUCCUUGGACUCCUGAGGUUUUUACACUUACUUGCUGACUCUGUGGACUUUGACUUCAUCAUUAAACAUCUUAUAAUGAUG
RNAcentral lists this long non-coding RNA (1277 nucleotides) under Theropithecus gelada (gelada). Its description in RNAcentral is "lncRNA (ENSTGEG00000029363.1)". Lineage: Eukaryota; Metazoa; Chordata; Mammalia; Primates; Cercopithecidae. The record is from RNAcentral.